GGUUAAGCGACCAAGCGUACACGGUGGAUGCCCUGGCAGUCAGAGGCGAUGAAGGACGUGCUAAUCUGCGAAAAGCGCCGGUAAGGUGAUAUGAACCGUUAUAACCGGCGAUGUCCGAAUGGGGAAACCCAGUGUGACUCGUCACACUAUCAUUAACUGAAUCCAUAGGUUAAUGAGGCGAACCGGGGGAACUGAAACAUCUAAGUACCCCGAGGAAAAGAAAUCAACCGAGAUUCCCCCAGUAGCGGCGAGCGAACGGGGAGGAGCCCAGAGCCUGAAUCAGCAUGUGUGUUAGUGGAAGCGUCUGGAAAGGCGCGCGAUACAGGGUGAGAGCCCCGUACACAAAAGCGCACAUGCUGUGAGCUCGAUGAGUAGGGCGGGACACGUGGUAUCCUGUCUGAAUAUGGGGGGACCAUCCUCCAAGGCUAAAUACUCCUGACUGACCGAUAGUGAACCAGUACCGUGAGGGAAAGGCGAAAAGAACCCCGGCGAGGGGAGUGAAACAGAACCUGAAACCGUGUACGUACAAGCAGUGGGAGCCUCUCUUUAUGGGGGGUGACUGCGUACCUUUUGUAUAAUGGGUCAGCGACUUAUAUUCUGUAGCAAGGUUAACCGCAUAGGGGAGCCGAAGGGAAACCGAGUCUUAACCGGGCGUUAAGUUGCAGGGUAUAGACCCGAAACCCGGUGAUCUAGCCAUGGGCAGGUUGAAGGUUGGGUAACACUAACUGGAGGACCGAACCGACUAAUGUUGAAAAAUUAGCGGAUGACCUGUGGCUGGGGGUGAAAGGCCAAUCAAACCGGGAGAUAGCUGGUUCUCCCCGAAAGCUAUUUAGGUAGCGCCUCGUGAAUUCAUCUCCGGGGGUAGAGCACUGUUUCGGCUAGGGGGCCAUCCCGGCUUACCAACCCGAUGCAAACUGCGAAUACCGGAGAAUGUUAUCACGGGAGACACACGGCGGGUGCUAACGUCCGUCGUGAAGAGGGAAACAACCCAGACCGCCAGCUAAGGUCCCAAAGUCAUGGUUAAGUGGGAAACGAUGUGGGAAGGCCCAGACAGCCAGGAUGUUGGCUUAGAAGCAGCCAUCAUUUAAAGAAAGCGUAAUAGCUCACUGGUCGAGUCGGCCUGCGCGGAAGAUGUAACGGGGCUAAACCAUGCACCGAAGCUGCGGCAGCGACACUGUGUGUUGUUGGGUAGGGGAGCGUUCUGUAAGCCGUUGAAGGUGUGUCGUGAGGCAUGCUGGAGGUAUCAGAAGUGCGAAUGCUGACAUAAGUAACGAUAAAGCGGGUGAAAAGCCCGCUCGCCGGAAGACCAAGGGUUCCUGUCCAACGUUAAUCGGGGCAGGGUGAGUCGACCCCUAAGGCGAGGCCGAAAGGCGUAGUCGAUGGGAAACGGGUUAAUAUUCCCGUACUUGGUGUUACUGCGAAGGGGGGACGGAGAAGGCUAUGUUGGCCGGGCGACGGUAGUCCCGGUUUAAGCGUGUAGGUGUGUGUUCCAGGUAAAUCCGGUUCACUUUAACACUGAGGCGUGAUGACGAGGCACCACGGUGCUGAAGCAACAAAUGCCCUGCUUCCAGGAAAAGCCUCUAAGCAUCAGGUAACAUCAAAUCGUACCCCAAACCGACACAGGUGGUCAGGUAGAGAAUACCAAGGCGCUUGAGAGAACUCGGGUGAAGGAACUAGGCAAAAUGGUGCCGUAACUUCGGGAGAAGGCACGCUGACACGUAGGUGAAGUGAUUUACUCAUGGAGCUGAAGUCAGUCGAAGAUACCAGCUGGCUGCAACUGUUUAUUAAAAACACAGCACUGUGCAAACACGAAAGUGGACGUAUACGGUGUGACGCCUGCCCGGUGCCGGAAGGUUAAUUGAUGGGGUCAGCGCAAGCGAAGCUCCUGAUCGAAGCCCCGGUAAACGGCGGCCGUAACUAUAACGGUCCUAAGGUAGCGAAAUUCCUUGUCGGGUAAGUUCCGACCUGCACGAAUGGCGUAAUGAUGGCCAGGCUGUCUCCACCCGAGACUCAGUGAAAUUGAACUCGCUGUGAAGAUGCAGUGUACCCGCGGCAAGACGGAAAGACCCCGUGAACCUUUACUAUAGCUUGACACUGAACAUUGAGCCUUGAUGUGUAGGAUAGGUGGGAGGCUUUGAAGCGUGGACGCCAGUCUGCGUGGAGCCGACCUUGAAAUACCACCCUUUAAUGUUUGAUGUUCUAACGUGGACCCGUAAUCCGGGUUGCGGACAGUGUCUGGUGGGUAGUUUGACUGGGGCGGUCUCCUCCUAAAGAGUAACGGAGGAGCACGAAGGUUGGCUAAUCCUGGUCGGACAUCAGGAGGUUAGUGCAAUGGCAUAAGCCAGCUUGACUGCGAGCGUGACGGCGCGAGCAGGUGCGAAAGCAGGUCAUAGUGAUCCGGUGGUUCUGAAUGGAAGGGCCAUCGCUCAACGGAUAAAAGGUACUCCGGGGAUAACAGGCUGAUACCGCCCAAGAGUUCAUAUCGACGGCGGUGUUUGGCACCUCGAUGUCGGCUCAUCACAUCCUGGGGCUGAAGUAGGUCCCAAGGGUAUGGCUGUUCGCCAUUUAAAGUGGUACGCGAGCUGGGUUUAGAACGUCGUGAGACAGUUCGGUCCCUAUCUGCCGUGGGCGCUGGAGAAUUGAGGGGGGCUGCUCCUAGUACGAGAGGACCGGAGUGGACGCAUCACUGGUGUUCGGGUUGUCAUGCCAAUGGCACUGCCCGGUAGCUAAAUGCGGAAAAGAUAAGUGCUGAAAGCAUCUAAGCACGAAACUUGCCCCGAGAUGAGUUCUCCCUGAGACUUUGAGUCUCCUGAAGGAACGUUAAAGACGAUGACGUUGAUAGGCCGGGUGUGUAAGCGCAGCGAUGCGUUGAGCUAACCGGUACUAAUGAACCGUGAGGCUUAACCUU
Molecule: ribosomal RNA, 2908 nt
Filed under: Salmonella enterica subsp. diarizonae
Lineage: Bacteria; Pseudomonadati; Pseudomonadota; Gammaproteobacteria; Enterobacterales; Enterobacteriaceae
Description: 23S ribosomal RNA
Rfam family: Bacterial large subunit ribosomal RNA
Source: RNAcentral